This is an RNA transcript of Ananas comosus (pineapple), 3655 nucleotides long. It is a transcript of the gene named protein FAR1-RELATED SEQUENCE 6-like, with no coding region annotated. NCBI's taxonomy places the organism in Eukaryota, Viridiplantae, Streptophyta, Magnoliopsida, Poales, Bromeliaceae. The record is from RefSeq and is a predicted model, not a curated record. The transcript is spliced from 6 exons.
CUCUCUCUCUCUCUCUCUCUCUCCCCCACAAUCGCCAUUGAAGGUUCCUUCUCUCUCUCUCUCUCUCUCUCUCUCUCUCCCUCUCCCCCAAUAAGAGGAAAGAGAGAAACCAUCUCUGAAGCAACAUUUCGAUCUUCUCCUCUCUCGUUGUUUCUUUCUGCGAUCAUGGGGUAUGCUGAUAAAUUUUUGCUAAUUUAAUCUACAAAAAUGGUUUAGAUUCAAUCCCACAGCUAAAAUCUGUGGAAAAAGAAUUUGGAGCUUGGUUAUUGAAAUUACGAAGCUGUACUCACCACUCAGAUUUGUAUCCUCUUUAAUGAGUGACAAAUGUUGUUUAUCGCGAGAUUCUUAAGAGCAUAUCGACUGAAAAGUUUUUCUCUUUGUCGUCACGCUAAAAGGCGAGCGUCAAUAGGUGUGUGACGAUGCAUGGCUUUUCGCCUUUUUUAUUCUAUACAAUAAUUUUUGAUGGAAUUUUAAACGAUAACUGAUAGAAAAUCAUUCUAUGGAUUAUUCAUUUUUAGAGCUUACAAAAUCAUGGGGUUGACGUGUGGGACCUUCAGGAGGCAUGGAAAAGAAAACAUAUGUAGUGCCUGUGCACUACCAUGCGUAUUGCAUGCUGCAUGUUGGUUCAUUACUGUCUGCUCUGUACCCACGUUAAAUUUGCUUGUCGUAAACCAAUGGAAGACCAAUCUUCCGAAUCCUCGAAAGAAGACUCAGAAACAGAGCACAUUGGAGACGAAAUCCAGUGCCAAGUAGGAAGCGGCAAGAAUAAUCCAGCUAAUAGUGAUACCGAACUUAUACCAAAGUUGGGUAUGGUAUUUGGGUCUGAGGAAGAAGCUUUACAGUUUUAUAUGGGAUAUGCCUAUCGCACAGGGUUUGGAAUAGUUAGAAGGUCAAAUAAUACAAUUGAAGGGUAUGUAUACCGUACUACAUUUAUAUGUCACAAGGGAGGUAAGUCUAGGGUCAAAAAAGAGAUUACCAGACCUCCAAGAAAACAAGCAAGCAAGACUGGUUGCAAAGCUAAAAUGAUCAUUAAAGAUCAUCAUUUUCAAAACCGUUGGGAGGUGGUUGUUGUUGAAUUGGAGCACAACCAUCCACUUGAGCCUAACAUUGUUAAGUUCAUGAAUUGUUUUAAGAAGUCUCCUUUUUUUGGAAAAAAGCAGCUCCUGAUUGGAGACAGCAAGGAUGCUCCUCCAAGCAACUCUGUUGAUGCCGUGUCUGUUCAAGGUUCAUCUACUCAAAGAGAUUCCAGAAUUGAGAUAGGAAAUAUUAGAAAAUUAGAGCUUGAGGAAGGGGAUUUAGAAGUCCUUUUAAGUUACUUCGACAAAAUGCAAGAUCAAAAUCCAUAUUUCUUUUACAGUUUGGAUAUGAAUGAAGAAGGCCAGCUUAGAAAUGUUUUUUGGGCCGAUGCUCGAUCUAGAGGUUCAUAUAGUUACUAUGGAGACGUCGUCAAAGUUAGCGUGGCAAACUUCACAGAUCUGAGCAACGUGUUGUUUAUCACAUUUACUGGAGUGAACCACCAUGGUCAGGAGGUGUUAUUGGCCUGUGGUCUGGUUACGGAUAGAACUUUCCAAACCUAUACGUGGCUUUUUAAUAAAUUUUUAAGAUGCAUGAAUGAUAGACCACCAAAUGCGAUAAUAACUGAUCAUUGUCGGAACAUAGUUACAGCUAUUAGAAAGGUUUUUCCCCAUGUGCAGCAUAGGUUUUGCCUUUGGAGCAUUUUGAAAGCGCUUCCUGAGAAGUUAAGGGGAGUGGAAGAGAUGGAGGCAAUAGGUCUCAAAUUCCAACGUGUGGUUUAUGAUUCACUGUUAAUUCCUGAUUUUGAAAAAGAAUGGCAAGAAAUGAUCGGGCAAUUCAAGCUCGAAGGUAAUGAAUGGUUCUCCAAUUUAUAUGAAAUUAGGGAGCAUUGGGCGCCCGUGUUUGUGAAGGAUACAUUCUGGGCAGGCAUGUCUAUCACUGAGAGAGGUGACAGCAUUAGUAGCGUUUCCGAUGGAUGGUCGACAAGCAAAACUUCAUUGCAAAUGUUUCUUGAACGGUAUGAUGAUGGUAUUAAAAGUAUAUUUGAGAAAGAAGCUUAUGAAGAAUUUCGUUCAAUUCAAAUGAGGCCACAGUUACUAACCGGUUUUCCUUUUGAGGAGCAAGUCUCACGAGUUUAUACGGUAAGCAUCUUUGAAAAGUUCCAGUGCGAAGUAAAGCAUUUAUUCCAAGUUAGCAGUAAUGUACUCAAUAGAAGCGGUUCUGUAGUUUCGUAUGUAGUCACAGAGUUUGUAAAUGGAAAGAAGAUUGAUUACCGAGUGGCCUAUGACAAUGUCGAGGAUGAUAUAUGGUGCAUUUGCAGGUCAUUCCAGCACAGAGGUAUUUUGUGCAGGCAUGCUCUGUCUGUAUUGAGACAAGAGCUUGUGAUGUUAAUUCCAUCAAAAUACAUUAUCACUCGUUGGCGGAACGAUUUUAAGCGCUUACAAGCAUCUAUUGCUUCACCUUUCGUAGCGCCUACUCAGGAACUGGGAAGCUUUGACGAUCUGUAUAGGCAUACCCAUCGAUAUUUUCUGGAAAUCGUGGAAAUCGGAGCCACUAACCUUGGUUCUAAGGAGUAUGCUUUAUCGAUGAUGAAGGAGGUUAAAGAUAAGGUAAUAGCAUUCGAGAAGUCAUUGCGAGAUCAGAGAAUUAACAGUGAGAUUGGAUCAACAGGUUAUUCCUAUAAUCCAAUCAAUGAGGAUUUUGCGGAUGAUCGACCACCUGCCAUUGUAAAUACCAAGGGUUGGGAACCUUCACAAGCACAUUCAAAAGGUCGCUCGCGGAAGAAGAAACCCACUGGUCUGAGGGGAGCUGUUCUUAACCCUCUGAAUAAGAAUAAGACGACUUCCGAAAGAAAGAGGAGAAACACUUCAAGCAACUUGAACCCGAGGAAUAAUGAUACUACUAUGAAUAAUGACGCCCAUGUGCAACAUGAACAACUCCAUGAGGGGUGGGCACUACCUCCUAGCGGGACGCAGGAAAGCUUUCCGUAUGGGGUCGGUUUAUACUGCAACCCGCAUAUUUCUUCUGAUUAUGCAAUAAAAUUGUCUUAUUCUUCUCAUUUCUUGUUUGCUUUGAUUGCUGGCAGGUAGAAACCAUCUCCUUCGAUUUGUCGCAGUACAAUGCUGCUCGUAAUUUUCAGUGGCCUGAAAGUAGCCGGUUUCGGAUUUUCUGGAAAGAGCCUUAACUUCCCAAAUCCAGCGACUUCUGACAACUUAAUGACUUGGCCUGAAGAUCUCAGCAAGUAUUUUGUCGGCCAGUUUGUGAAGUUUCUCGCCUUCUGGCGCUCCCAACUCUUCUUUGGUGGUAGGAACUCAACGCGAUGUCGGAUGAGCCUAGUUUGGCUAGGAGUCUAUAUAUAGAUUGUAAAGUCCUCCCUGUCCAUACAGUUUUUGUAUAAUUUAUCCAUAGUUGUCAUCUUAUUGCAAGGUUUGUCAAUCUAAAUUUCAAAUAUGUUACUCUAACCUGCUUGAUUAUGUUGAUGCUGUUGUAUGCACCAAAUCAAAGUUGGGUAUACAGGGUUUAAGGCGGGUUAAUGCAGGGUUUAAAGUGGGUUAAUGUUGUGGUACACUAAUUUCUGUAAAAAAUCAAGCUUGAAAACAGUACUUGUCAAUUGCCAUGGUUGGAACCAAGGUUUUUACUA